This 265-nucleotide ribosomal RNA is filed under the name uncultured bacterium. RNAcentral's name for it is "partial 16S ribosomal RNA". It matches the Rfam family "Bacterial small subunit ribosomal RNA", at positions 793 to 1055 of the family's 1533-position model. The record is from RNAcentral.
GUCCACGCCGUAAACGAUGGGCACUAGGCGUCGGGGGGAGCGACCCCCUCGGUGCCGUCGCUAACGCAGUAAGUGCCCCGCCUGGGGAGUACGGUCGCAAGACUGAAACUCAAAGGAAUUGACGGGGGCCCGCACAAGCGGUGGAGCAUGUGGUUUAAUUCGAAGCAACGCGAAGAACCUUACCUGGGCUUGACAUGCUGGUGAAAGGUCGUGGAAACACGAUCCCCUCUUCGGAGCGCCAGCACAGGUGCUGCAUGGCUGUCGU